UAGAGGAAACUUUUGGUGAGGCACCUUCUGAGUCCCUUGGAACAGGGCGCCAUAGAGGGUGAGAGCCCCGUAUAGUCGGAUGCCGAUCCAAUGUAAAGUUCCUUCGACGAGUCGAGUAGUUUGGGAAUGCUGCUCAAAAUGGGAGGUAAAUUUCUUCUAAAGCUAAAUAUAGGCCAGAGACCGAUAGCGCACAAGUAGAGUGAUCGAAAGAUGAAAAGCACUUUGAAAAGAGGGUUAAAUAGCACGUGAAAUUGUUGAAAGGGAAGCGUUUGUGACCAGACUUGCGCCGUUCCGAUCAUCCGGUGUUCUCACCGGUGCACUCGGGGCGGCUCAGGCCAGCAUCGGUUUUGGUGGGGGGAUAAAGGUCCAGGGAACGUAGCUCCUCCGGGAGUGUUAUAGCCCUGGGCGUAAUGCCCUCGCUGGGACCGAGGUUCGCGCAUCUGCAAGGAUGCUGGCGUAAUGGUCAUCAACGACCCGUCUUGAAACACGGACCAAGGAGUCAAGGUUUUGCGCGAGUGUUUGGGUGUAAAACCCGCACGCGUAAUGAAAGUGAACGUAGGUGAGAGCUUCGGCGCAUCAUCGACCGAUCCUGAUGUAUUCGGAUGGAUUUGAGUAAGAGCGUUAAGCCUUGGACCCGAAAGAUGGUGAACUAUGCUUGGAUAGGGUGAAGCCAGAGGAAACUCUGGUGGAGGCUCGCAGCGGUUCUGACGUGCAAAUCGAUCGUCAAAUCUGAGCAUGGGGGCGAAAGACUAAUCGAACCAUCUAGUAGCUGGUUACCGCCGAAGUUUCCCUCAGGAUAGCAGUGUUGUUCUUCAGUUUUAUGAGGUAAAGCGAAUGAUUAGGGACUCGGGGGCGCUUUUUAGCCUUCAUCCAUUCUCAAACUUUAAAUAUGUAAGAAGCUCUUGUUACUUAAUUGAACGUGAGCAUUCGAAUGUACCAACACUAGUGGGCCAUUUUUGGUAAGCAGAACUGGCGAUGCGGGAUGAACCGAACGCGGGGUUAAGGUGCCGGAGUGGACGCUCAUCAGACACCACAAAAGGCGUUAGUACAUCUUGACAGCAGGACGGUGGCCAUGGAAGUCGGAAUCCGCUAAGGACUGUGUAACAACUCACCUGCCGAAUGUACUAGCCCUGAAAAUGGAUGGCGCUCAAGCGUCCCUCCCAUACCCCGCCCUCAGGGUAGAAACGAUGCCCUGAGGAGUAG
This 1203-nucleotide ribosomal RNA is filed under the name Sordaria fimicola. Its description in RNAcentral is "LSU rRNA". It matches the Rfam family "Eukaryotic large subunit ribosomal RNA", at positions 151 to 1384 of the family's 3401-position model. Lineage: Eukaryota; Fungi; Ascomycota; Sordariomycetes; Sordariales; Sordariaceae. The record is from RNAcentral.